Molecule: long non-coding RNA, 802 nt
Filed under: Phaseolus vulgaris (common bean)
Lineage: Eukaryota; Viridiplantae; Streptophyta; Magnoliopsida; Fabales; Fabaceae
Description: long non-coding RNA (PVUL_LNC002312)
Source: RNAcentral
AGUGGGAUAUCAAUUCCCUGCCCAACAGAGUUAGCCUUGUCCUCAAGGCUGAAACCUGGAAAGGGCAAAUGGUUGUUGCAGACCGCCAAAUGACUUUCUCAACAAAUUAGAUUCAACAAUGUCAAGACGAUGCAGUGUCAUUCUUUUACUCAUACGUGAAUGGGCAAGCUUCACCUAUGAACCAUGUAAAAAAACAGACCAUUCUCCUCACUCAACAAAGACCCUUGGAUACAGAAAAGCAGUUUCUGCAGGAUUGGAACAAAAAAUGAGUUUUAGAAUUCUCUCACCUGCCUCUGUGAUAACUUGCUUUAAUUGCUCGAAAAUCAGAACUCGAGUCAGGAAACUCUUUCUCCCCUGCCGCCUCUGUGAUAACUUGCUUCAAUUGCUCUUUAGCUACCUAGUAAAAAGAUGAAACACAUAAUGAAAUACACAAAUAGAAUCACAUGACAAAUCCUAAACAUCAAAUUACCUUCAAAUCGGUUCCGUGUAGAGGCAGAGAGAGUAGGGUUUUGUGAGGCAGAGAGCGCUAGGGUUCGUAUGGAGGCAGAGUUCGUGUGAGGCAGGCAUGGCUAGGGUUCGUGUGAGGCAGAGAGCCCUAGGUUCGUGUGGAAGCAACAAGCACUAGGGUUCGUGGGAGCCAGACAUCGCUAGGGUUUGUGUGAGGCAGAGUGCUCGAUUCGUGUGGAAGCAGCGCAGGGUUCAUGUGAGUGUGAGGCAGAGAGAAGGACGAGAGUGAAAGUGUUAGACUUAGGGUCACUCUUGUUUUCAAAAUGAAAUUAAAAAAAAAUUAUUUUCUUAAGUU